RNAcentral lists this long non-coding RNA (1854 nucleotides) under Zostera marina. RNAcentral describes it as "long non-coding RNA (ZMAR_LNC002686)". Lineage: Eukaryota; Viridiplantae; Streptophyta; Magnoliopsida; Alismatales; Zosteraceae. The record is from RNAcentral.
CUGAAAAUUAAUAAAAGUUGGGGUCAAAAUUAACUAGGACUGUCGUGAUCACUAUAUAUAUUUACCGGUAUAUUAGAUAUAGAUGGAUGGACGUUCAGAAAGGAGAGCUGGGGCAGCAGUUGCAUCAUCAACGACGGUGGUGAUGUGGGUUGUGAUGGUGGUGGUGUGGUGGUGGUGAAUGAUGCACAACUGGGGGAGGUGGAGGGUGGACUACAACCACUGGAGGAGAGUGAUGCGGUGGAGGCGGGGGAGGAGCUUCCUUCACAACCACCACCACAGGAGGUGGGGAUGGUGUAUGGUGAUGAUGCUUCCCUGCAAACAAAAGAUAUAUCAAUUACCCAAUUCAGUCAGUCAUAAAAUAUUAUUGAAAACUGCUGAAGCUUUAUAAUUCAGUCAAGAAAGUGAAAAAAGAUCUGUGAUGAACUUACCUGGAGGAUGAUGGUGGUGGUGAUGUCCGUGAUUCAUUUUUUCCUUCUGCUAUUAAGAACUACUGUAAUUGGGUUAUAUAGAACUGGUAGCUAGGUAUCUUCUUGAUCUACACGACACGUGUAGAGGCGUGUAGGUGUGGAAAUUAAGAUAGACUUCGUUGUUAAGAAAUGAAGUGAUUGGUACAAGAUGAUUUCUUUUUUUACAAAUUGAUUGGCCGGAGUUCCAUCAAUAUUUAUUUCUGAUCUCGACUCGCGUUAGCCCGUAGCGGCGUAGCCCCGUACCGUAUUUAGUUACUUUGAAAAUAAAUAAGUUUGUAAAUCGGACGGAUAACCGGCGUCGACGGUGAUAUAGCUUUUGAUUAAUCUCUGAGACAAUCGAGCAUGUUAAAGAUUCUUGAAUCAAAUUCAACUUGCGUUGCUACUGGUUAAAAUAAACUUUAGAAAUAUAUAUCCAACACUUUAGAAUUUAGAUCUUCAACGGUGCAUGUGGUAGGUAGAAUUACCCCUCGCAGUGAUCAUCAACCUUCUAAACCGGUUGUUAAUCGUAGUUAAAACAGUCAAAUUAAUAGAGAAAAAUUAUAAUAGGAAGAGGAUUUGGUGAAUACCUCCCUAGAUUUUAGUUCUUAGUUGGGUUUUUUAAUAUUUUUUUGUCACAUCCUUAGAUGAGUCUUUAGAGGUUAAGAUUGGGUGGCCGCAUCCGACCACAUUGGGCUAGGGUGCCGCACCUGAAACUUAAUUUUAUUGAUAUCAGACAGAGAAUUUUAACUUUUAUACAAGGUCAAGCUCUAGAGGCUGUUGACAAGCUUAGUUAUUCUUUGCCGGCAACAGUAACUUGGAUGAUUUGUUCAUCAAUUCUAUUUUCAGAACAAGGAAUCAGAUAUGUAAUCUUAAUUAGUUUUUUUAACUUUUCAUUCCAUUUCGAUAUGUAAUCAAUUAUCUGAUAAUUAUUAUUUAUCACAGAUUCACAGCAGAUGUAUAAUAUACUCGGAUAAAGUGACGUAUAUUAAGUUCAAACACUAAUGGCAAUCUGGCAUGGCUUAAAAUAAAUUAUUAAGACCAGAUAAUACAUUAUUUGAUCAGAUUAUAUCUCUCCAAUUUUAUUACCUGCAAAUUAUAUAGAUAGAUGAUGUUCAGAAGAGAGAGCUAGCUGGAGUCUGUAGUUGUCGAUCAUCAGCGAUGGUGGUGUGUUGGUGGUGGAGGAUGGUGCACAGGAGGAGGUGGUGUGUGGACUACAACCACUGGAGGAGUGUGAUGGGACGACGGUGGUGGAGGCGGAGUUUCCUUCACAACAACCACUACAGGAGGUGGGGAUGGAGUAGGAUGAUGAUGCUUCCCUGUAAACCAAAGAUCAACACCAUUCCAGUCAUGAAAUAUUAUCCAAAAGUACAGGAACUUUGCAAUUCACGAUGAGUAAGUAAUUACCUGG